GACAGCAGUCGCCACGGUAAUACAGAGGGUGCGAGCGUUAAUCGGAUUUACUGGGCGUAAAGCGUGCGUAGGCGGCUUCUUAAGUCGGAUGUGAAAUCCCUGAGCUUAACUUAGAAAUUGCAUUCGAUACUGGGAAGCUAGAGUAUGGGAGAGGAUGGUAGAAUUCCAGGUGUAGCGGUGAAAUGCGUAGAGAUCUGGAGGAAUACCGAUGGCGAAGGCAGCCAUCUGGCCUAAUACUGACGCUGAGGUACGAAAGCAUGGGGAGCAAACAGGAUUAGAUACCCCUGUAGUCCCUGUCUCUUAUAC
Molecule: ribosomal RNA, 306 nt
Filed under: uncultured bacterium
Lineage: Bacteria
Description: partial 16S ribosomal RNA
Rfam family: Bacterial small subunit ribosomal RNA
Source: RNAcentral